CGCUAUCAUCAUUAACUUUAUUUAUUACCGUCAUUCAGUUCUGAAUGUCUGUUUACCCCUAUUUCAAC
RNAcentral lists this antisense RNA (68 nucleotides) under Klebsiella sp. MS 92-3. Its description in RNAcentral is "MicF RNA". It matches the Rfam family "MicF RNA", at positions 1 to 68 of the family's 94-position model. Rfam says of the family: The micF gene is a stress response gene found in Escherichia coli and related bacteria that post-transcriptionally controls expression of the outer membrane porin gene ompF. Lineage: Bacteria; Pseudomonadati; Pseudomonadota; Gammaproteobacteria; Enterobacterales; Enterobacteriaceae. The record is from RNAcentral.